UGGAUCACUAAUGAUGGUAUUUCAUGAACCAAGGAUUAUGAAUGCUCCAAUUCUAUAUUCCUGAUUCAAG
This 70-nucleotide small nucleolar RNA is filed under the name Choloepus hoffmanni (Hoffmann's two-fingered sloth). Its description in RNAcentral is "Small nucleolar RNA SNORD112 (ENSCHOG00000015690.1)". Lineage: Eukaryota; Metazoa; Chordata; Mammalia; Pilosa; Megalonychidae. The record is from RNAcentral.